UGUAGUACUGGACGUACUUUUGAUCACUUGAUUGGUGAUAAUAGAGGCAGGUUGCCGAAUAUUUUUUAUAGUAUUGGACGUACUUUUGAUCACCUGGUUGGUGAUAAUAGAGGCAGGCUGCCGAAUAAUUUUGGAGUACUGGACAUACUUUUAAUCACCUGGUUGGUGAUAAUAGUGGCAUGUUGCCGAAUAAUUUUGGAGUAUUGGGCGUACUUUUGAUCACCUGGUUGGUAAUAGAGGCAGGUUGCCAAAUAAUUUUUGUAGUAUUGAAAGUAAUUUUAAUCACCUGGUUGGUGAUAAUAGAGGCAGGUUGCUGAAUAAUUUUUGUAGUACUGGACGUACUUUUGAUCA
This 351-nucleotide long non-coding RNA is filed under the name Malus domestica (apple). RNAcentral describes it as "long non-coding RNA (MDOM_LNC017136)". The record is from RNAcentral. Lineage: Eukaryota; Viridiplantae; Streptophyta; Magnoliopsida; Rosales; Rosaceae.